CCGUUCGUUCGUUCCAAGCAUCAUAAAUUUUUUUGUAUCCUACCAUAAUCUGAUGCAUGAUAUAUGUAUCCCCUUUGGAAUUUUCAGCCUAAGUACAACAUCACCAAAGUUGUACAAUGAAUCGGUUUCAUCCAGCCAGGUUGGUUUCUGUCACGACACUCCAUUCCUUGUCUUCUCAUUUCGUUUUCUCAUGCGUUUUGGGUCCUACUGCCUGAUUUCCUCACCGUUUAGGACAACGGGAUUCGGUGAGCACAUUUCUCCAGCGUUUUUCACGAAGGAAAUGGCCCCCACAGAACCACC
This 300-nucleotide long non-coding RNA is filed under the name Elaeis guineensis (African oil palm). RNAcentral describes it as "long non-coding RNA (EGUI_LNC029541)". The record is from RNAcentral. Lineage: Eukaryota; Viridiplantae; Streptophyta; Magnoliopsida; Arecales; Arecaceae.